This is a long non-coding RNA of Trachymyrmex cornetzi, 486 nucleotides long. RefSeq lists it as uncharacterized. The transcript has 2 exons. The record is from RefSeq and is a predicted model, not a curated record. Lineage: Eukaryota; Metazoa; Arthropoda; Insecta; Hymenoptera; Formicidae.
UCACGAAAAUCCAGCGGAUCAGCCAGCAGCGGGGCCUGCAAGCCAUACAAUUUCCAGCAUAGUAGCCAGUCAGAUUGCCAGCACAGUAGCACACAAGCAAUCCAGCAGGAAAAAGAGCAUCGUGUGCCGCUGGCUUUAGACUAGAUAGUCAUAAAAAUUUUUGAACAGCAAAAUAACUGUUGCGUUAUGCUAAACGCAAAAAAGUAGUCGACGUUACUGAUAGAAUAAGGAUAGUGCCUUUGCUGUCCAAUGGCUCCUGUUAACUGAUAUCAAGCUGUGUUCAACAGAAGUGUGAUACUGGACAAUAUUCGUAGGGCCCACACAAAUACUGUCCAACUGUUUUUUGGGUCUGUUUUUUCAGACCUUUCUUUUUCGGUAUGAGAUCCUUGAAAGCUGUUCAUCACACUUGCAAUGCUGAAACACAGCUUUGUAUUGUUUUGUAGCCGAGCCUGUUGAAACUAUUGAAUAAAGAUUUUGAUGAUUAAA